This 761-nucleotide ribosomal RNA is filed under the name uncultured bacterium. RNAcentral describes it as "bacterial SSU rRNA". It matches the Rfam family "Bacterial small subunit ribosomal RNA", at positions 62 to 819 of the family's 1533-position model. The record is from RNAcentral.
UCGACGGCAGCACGGGAGCAAUCCUGGUGGCGAGUGGCGAACGGGUGAGUAAUGUAUCGGAACGUACCUUUCAGUGGGGGAUAACGUAGCGAAAGUUACGCUAAUACCGCAUAUUCUGUGAGCAGGAAAGCAGGGGAUCGCAAGACCUUGCGCUGAUUGAGCGGCCGAUAUCAGAUUAGCUAGUUGGUGAGGUAAAGGCUCACCAAGGCGACGAUCUGUAGCGGGUCUGAGAGGAUGAUCCGCCACACUGGAACUGAGACACGGUCCAGACUCCUACGGGAGGCAGCAGUGGGGAAUUUUGGACAAUGGGGGCAACCCUGAUCCAGCCAUGCCGCGUGAGUGAAGAAGGCCUUCGGGUUGUAAAGCUCUUUCAGCCGGGAAGAAAUCACAUGGGUUAAUACCCUGUGUGGAUGACGGUACCGGAAUAAGAAGCACCGGCUAACUACGUGCCAGCAGCCGCGGUAAUACGUAGGGUGCGAGCGUUAAUCGGAAUUACUGGGCGUAAAGCGUGCGCAGGCGGUUUGUUAAGAUAGGCGUGAAAUCCCCGGGCUCAACCUGGGAACUGCGUUUAUGACUGGCAGGCUAGAGUAUGGCAGAGGGGGGUGGAAUUCCACGUGUAGCAGUGAAAUGCGUAGAGAUGUGGAGGAACACCGAUGGCGAAGGCAGCCCCCUGGGCCAAUACUGACGCUCAUGCACGAAAGCGUGGGUAGCAAACAGGAUUAGAUACCCUGGUAGUCCACGCCCUAAACGAUGUCAACUAG